GUGCUUUUUCUCCCUCGCUUGGUGCGUGCGUGAGAGCUGAGGAACCGAGCGAAGCAAGAAUGCACGCGCACAGACCGAGAAAAAUAUCUUCAUCUCUCAUCUUGAGCGCUCUGGACCGAAUCCAGUGUCCACGCCCGCGGUCGAAGCCAGUUGCAGCUGAAUAUCUUCGUCGAGCAAUUUCGUCGUUGAAUUGAUUCGUCGCCUUAGCUUCGUUUUCGUGAGAUUCUCCAAGUCUUUCAGUGUCUUCAUUUAUUAGCAGGUAACCGUUCGGAUCGGAUCUCCCCAAGGUAGGAUGCGGUCGAUUCAUGGAGACUCGAUCAUACGAUUCUUCUGUAUUUGCCUUUUGCUGAGAGUUUCAAAUUGUUAUCUCAAAUUGCUUAUGUUAUAUUGCUCGCCGAUUGAUAGGAAUUCCUAUUUCUAGAACACCUCACCAUUCAUGAUCACCACCUGUUCGACGUUUUGCCUCAGAGAUGAUAAUGACGAAUUUGUCUUUCUUUUUUUUUGGUGAAAUGACGAAUUUGUCUUCAUCAUUGAUCAAUCUGAGAUUGCAUAGGAGUGAUCUGGAUGUUCUUGUUCGACAUGCUGAUCAUAUAUUGUGAAUUUUGAUGCUUCAUCCUUUGAUGGCAGAGAGUUCUCUUUCCCUCGGUGCUUCGGCUUACUUUGUCUCCUUUGGUUGUGUGACUAAAUUGUCAUCUGGUAUAACAGUAAGUCACUAUACAUUGGUGGUGAAUAAAUCACAGCCAAGCAAUAUCUAGUUCAAUCUCGUUUUUAUGCUCCUAAAAGACCAUUCCACCAGAGUUUGAGAGAGAGAGAGUCUUCAACCUAAUUUAAAUUCAAAAUAUGCGGAAAUGGUACGAGAAAUGCUCAGGGAUCGGAAGUUUAGUUAAGUUGAGAAAUUAUGGAUAUAUGAAAGCAGUUAAGUUAAGAACUCAUGGAUAUAUAAAAGAAGUUAAGUUAAGAAAUGGACAUUGACAUGGUAAUAAUCAAAGGGAAUUUAACACUUAUGAAUAGAGGAUAUGCAGAGGAAAAAGAAAUGUUGAAAUUAUGCUGGAACCCAGCCAAAAUAACUGCUAAUUUCCCUUUGAGUAUUGUGUCAACAUCGAUGUCAAUGUCUCCAUUCAAGUGUCAUUUGUACGAACUAUGAUUAAUUUCAAUUCCAGCAAUGUCAAUGUCCUAGUAAUCUCGUUUUCAGUUAAUUUUGUUCGGCUCGUUCCUUUGAGUUCGUGUUCUUUGCUUUGAUUUCCCUUAUUCCCUGCAUUGCACCUUUAAAUAAUUCACAGUACUUCUACUUUAAUUUCCAAGCAAUUUGCUAUUCCUGUCAUUUAGAUCGAUUUCCAUCAAACAAUUUUAUCCAUUGAUUCCAGGAGCUAGCACGCACACACGCACACCAUCAAAGCCAUCUUUGGAAAAAUUGUUUGUGGAUAGUUUAAUCACUUUAGUGACAAGCUAGAAUCAGAAAGUAACCUCGGAAUUUGUUUUCCCAAUCGCUUGACAGUCUGAUCAACUUAUCAUUUAGCUAAACAUGUUGAUGUACACAAGUGAUCGCGCUAUAAUAGGAUUCUAAAUUUAGAUGCCAUCGGUUCAGGAGGUGGCUCCCACCAUGUGACAAUUUAUCCUAACGAGGUUCAAGAGGUAGCUCUCACGGCGUCACACUUUGUCACAUUUAGCAUUUUGUUCACAUUAUACACAAAUGUCGGUCCAUAUACGAUGCACAUGCAUGAUGACAUCUGUUCAUGUAUCUCAUGCUUGACACCUUACAUAAUGAAUAAUGAAUAAUGAUUUUUCAAGGAGAUUUGUGGUACAUAAAUAUGUACUUGCUUCCCAACCCAAUAUGGUUUUCAAUAGGAGUAAUGAUUCAUGAGUUGAAGGAAUCUGCCGAAUCUACAUAUACCAAAUUGAGCUGGCUCUAGAAGAACUUGUUACAUGUCCGCUUGCUAAUUUCCAAUUCAAAAUCCAUAGUUUCUACUUUUCCUUUUGAUAUUAAGAAGAGCAGUGUGCUAGACCCAAAUUUGGUGAUAGCAACUUGGAAUUUUCUUUGCAGGAUUUCGGUGCAUAGACUUAAUUCUAUUUCAGCGCAUAAAUCCGAAAAUUCUCAAUAUGAAUGUUAGUAUCUUUUGGCACCCUUGCUUUCCAGCAGCGGAGUUCACGUGGAGCUUACCUCCUUCCCUGCUAUUCCCACAUCCCUCUCUCAUUUGCUUUGUCC
RNAcentral lists this long non-coding RNA (2203 nucleotides) under Eucalyptus grandis. Its description in RNAcentral is "long non-coding RNA (EGRA_LNC004766)". The record is from RNAcentral. Lineage: Eukaryota; Viridiplantae; Streptophyta; Magnoliopsida; Myrtales; Myrtaceae.